GACGAACGCUGGCGGCGUGCUUAACACAUGCAAGUCGAACGGAAAGGCCCUGCUUUUGUGGGGUGCUCGAGUGGCGAACGGGUGAGUAACACGUGAGUAACCUGCCCUUGACUUUGGGAUAACUUCAGGAAACUGGGGCUAAUACCGGAUAGGAGCUCCUGCUGCAUGGUGGGGGUUGGAAAGUUUCGGCGGUUGGGGAUGGACUCGCGGCUUAUCAGCUUGUUGGUGGGGUAGUGGCUUACCAAGGCUUUGACGGGUAGCCGGCCUGAGAGGGUGACCGGCCACAUUGGGACUGAGAUACGGCCCAGACUCCUACGGGAGGCAGCAGUGGGGAAUAUUGCACAAUGGGCGGAAGCCUGAUGCAGCAACGCCGCGUGCGGGAUGACGGCCUUCGGGUUGUAAACCGCUUUCGCCUGUGACGAAGCGUGAGUGACGGUAAUGGGUAAAGAAGCACCGGCUAACUACGUGCCAGCAGCCGCGGUGAUACGUAGGGUGCGAGCGUUGUCCGGAUUUAUUGGGCGUAAAGGGCUCGUAGGUGGUUGAUCGCGUCGGAAGUGUAAUCUUGGGGCUUAACCCUGAGCGUGCUUUCGAUACGGGUUGACUUGAGGAAGGUAGGGGAGAAUGGAAUUCCUGGUGGAGCGGUGGAAUGCGCAGAUAUCAGGAGGAACACCAGUGGCGAAGGCGGUUCUCUGGGCCUUUCCUGACGCUGAGGAGCGAAAGCGUGGGGAGCGAACAGGCUUAGAUACCCUGGUAGUCCACGCUGUAAACGGUGGGUACUAGGUGUGGGGUCCAUUCCACGGGUUCCGUGCCGUAGCUAACGCUUUAAGUACCCCGCCUGGGGAGUACGGCCGCAAGGCUAAAACUCAAAGGAAUUGACGGGGCCCCGCACAAGCGGCGGAGCAUGCGGAUUAAUUCGAUGCAACGCGUAGAACCUUACCUGGGUUUGACAUGGAUCGGGAGUGCUCAGAGAUGGGUGUGCCUCUUUUGGGGUCGGUUCACAGGUGGUGCAUGGCUGUCGUCAGCUCGUGUCGUGAGAUGUUGGGUUAAGUCCCGCAACGAGCGCAACCCUUGUUCACUGUUGCCAGCACGUUAUGGUGGGGACUCAGUGGAGACCGCCGGGGUCAACUCGGAGGAAGGUGGGGAUGACGUCAAGUCAUCAUGCCCCUUAUGUCCAGGGCUUCACGCAUGCUACAAUGGCUGGUACAGAGAGUGGCGAGCCUGUGAGGGUGAGCGAAUCUCGGAAAGCCGGUCUCAGUUCGGAUUGGGGUCUGCAACUCGACCUCAUGAAGUCGGAGUCGCUAGUAAUCGCAGAUCAGCAACGCUGCGGUGAAUACGUUCCCGGGGCUUGUACACACCGCCCGUCAAGUCAUGAAAGUUGGUAACACCCGAAGCCGGUGGCCUAACCGUUGUGGGGGAGCCGUCGAAGGUGGGACU
This 1434-nucleotide ribosomal RNA is filed under the name uncultured organism. RNAcentral describes it as "16S ribosomal RNA". It matches the Rfam family "Bacterial small subunit ribosomal RNA". The record is from RNAcentral.